ACCUGGGUGGCUUAGUCGGUUAAGUGUCUGACUUUGGCUCAGGUCAUGAUCUCACGGUUCGUGGGUUCGAGCCCCGCACUGGGCU
This 85-nucleotide transfer RNA is filed under the name Felis catus (domestic cat). It matches the Rfam family "tRNA". From Rfam's summary of the family: Transfer RNA (tRNA) molecules are approximately 80 nucleotides in length. Their secondary structure includes four short double-helical elements and three loops (D, anti-codon, and T loops). Further hydrogen bonds mediate the characteristic L-shaped molecular structure. tRNAs have two regions of fundamental functional importance: the anti-codon, which is responsible for specific mRNA codon recognition, and the 3' end, to which the tRNAs corresponding amino acid is attached (by aminoacyl-tRNA synthetases). tRNAs cope with the degeneracy of the genetic code in two manners: having more than one tRNA (with a specific anti-codon) for a particular amino acid; and 'wobble' base-pairing, i.e. permitting non-standard base-pairing at the 3rd anti-codon position. The record is from Rfam by way of RNAcentral. Lineage: Eukaryota; Metazoa; Chordata; Mammalia; Carnivora; Felidae.